ACGAAUAAUAAAUCCUCGAAGGGUAUUCAUUGGAGCACUUGGGAAACGUUAUGUAAUCCAAAAUGCCUUAGAGGGAUGGGCUUUAAAAACUUGUUUUUGUUUAAUAAUGCCUUAUUAGCAAAACAAGUUUGGCGCAUUUUAUCCCGGCCUCAUUGUUUUUUGGCUAAGGUUUUAAAAGUCCGUUAUUUCCCUUAUUUAGAUAUUCUAUUAGCAGUGUUCGGGAGUUGAUUGGAGAAGGGAUUUUGUGGCGGUUGGGAAUGGUGCUCGCAUUAAUAUAUGGAAUGAUCCCUGGUUACCUGGAAGGGAGAACAAUAGAAUUUCAGUUCAGGACAUUCGGCCUAAUUAGACAACAGUUAAUCAAUUAGUUAUGAAUGAGGGUUGUACCUGGAACAGAGAGUUAGUUCAUAAUUUAGUUGAUGAUAAUACAACAACUAGAAUCUUCUCCAUUCCUAUUUCUGGAAGUAGGCCGGAGGACAUGUUGGUCUGGAAGUAUGAAGGCUUAAGGGAUUACACUAUUAAGAGCAGGUAUCGGGUCCUUAUUACAGAACUUUUACAAAGCAAAUCUAAUAUGUCCUCUAAUGAUGAGGAUUAGAAAGGUUUCUACACAGAUUUGUGGUCAUUAAAUAUUCCUGAGAAGAUUAAAAUACACGUUUGGAGGAUGUUUAAUAAUUUGGUGCCUCACUAUUUAAAUCUAGCGCGUAGAACUUUGUGUGAGGAUGCGGUGUGCCCACUGUGUAAGGAAGAACUGGAGAAUUCUGAGCAUCAGUUGUUGUCUUGUGGUGUUCAACAGGAUGUGUGGGCUUCGUUGCAAGUUCAAACUCCUCAUUUUGAAGAUUCGCUGGAUCACAAGAUUCGCUUUGUUAGAACAUUUUUUGAAGCAGACGGCCGACAAAAAUGACUCAUUGCUAUCUCUUUAUAGGGUCUUUGGUUUCAUAGAAAUAAAUUGGUGCAUGAAGGAGUAAAAUUUUCGAGGCAAAAAUUAUUGGGGUUCAUUCGAGGUUAUGAACAAGAUCUUUGUUUAUUUCAUGAGAACCUCUGUCCUAUUACUGGUUCUUUGGUUAAGGAGAUUUGGAGGCCUCCUGACUUUGGAAUCAUUAAGCUUAAUUUUGAUGCGUCUUUCAUUCAAGAAAAUAAACUUGCUACAACAGCGGUUUUAGCUAAAGAUUACAAAGGAGAAGUUGUUGGGGCAGAAACUUAUCUAUUUGAAGAUGUUGUUGACGCAUUUAUGGCAGAGGCACGAGCUUGUGAAAGGGCUUUAAUCUUCGCGAGUAUGAUGUGUUUUAGACGGCUGGCUGUGGAAGGUGAUUCUCUGUCUGUCAUAAAAAAUAUUAGAAAAAAGGAGGCAGAUAAAUCGGUUCUUAGGCCGAUUACUCAUCAUAUUCAUAAGUUGGAUAUGCUUUUUGAUGAGGUUACUUACAAUUUCGUGCCCCGUGCGGUUAAUGAUGCGGCUCAUGUUCUGGCGUUGGAAGGUCGGAGAAGAAGAGUAUGUGGGAGCUGGGUUAAUGGCGUACCUGAUUCGAUGCAGAUUGUGGUGAUGAAGGACCGUUUGGCUUGGAAUCAGAGGGUCUAGGGUUCAUGCAGUUUUGCUUUGAAUUUGGAAAAGGUUCAUUGAAUCUCCAGUUUGUAUUCAAAGCCUUGCUUUCUCCUUUGGCUAGUCUUCGUUGCAGAUAUUGUGGAGAGCUUUUCUGGCUGAUUGUGGGUUAUGAAGAGACGCGGUUGCUGGCUCAUGUGUUUUAUUUUUUUUUCUCUGUUUAUUUGGUCGAUGUUCUCUAGGAUUUUUAUUGCUUUAGGCUGGACAACUGUUUUGUUGCUUUCGUUUUGUCGUUUCUUUUUGGGUGUUGUGUUUGGAGGCUUCUCAGCUUCUUUUUUUCCUUAAGCCGUGGGUCAAUAAAAAUCAG
RNAcentral lists this long non-coding RNA (1898 nucleotides) under Gossypium raimondii (Peruvian cotton). Its description in RNAcentral is "long non-coding RNA (GRAI_LNC006704)". Lineage: Eukaryota; Viridiplantae; Streptophyta; Magnoliopsida; Malvales; Malvaceae. The record is from RNAcentral.